GAUGAACGCUAGCGGGAGGCCUAACACAUGCAAGCCGAGCGGUAUUGUUUCUUCGGAAAUGAGAGAGCGGCGUACGGGUGCGGAACACGUGUGCAACCUGCCUUUAUCUGGGGGAUAGCCUUUCGAAAGGAAGAUUAAUACUCCAUAAUAUAUUGAACGGCAUCGUUUAAUAUUGAAAGCUCCGGCGGAUAGAGAUGGGCACGCGCAAGAUUAGCUAGUUGGUGAGGUAACGGCUCACCAAGGCGAUGAUCUUUAGGGGGCCUGAGAGGGUGAUCCCCCACACUGGUACUGAGACACGGACCAGACUCCUACGGGAGGCAGCAGUGAGGAAUAUUGGUCAAUGGGUGCAAGCCUGAACCAGCCAUCCCGCGUGAAGGACGACUGCCCUAUGGGUUGUAAACUUCUUUUGUAUAGGGAUAAACCUACCCUCGUGAGGGUAGCUGAAGGUACUAUACGAAUAAGCACCGGCUAACUCCGUGCCAGCAGCCGCGGUAAUACGGAGGGUGCAAGCGUUAUCCGGAUUUAUUGGGUUUAAAGGGUCCGUAGGCGGACUUAUAAGUCAGUGGUGAAAGCCUGUCGCUUAACGAUAGAACUGCCAUUGAUACUGUAAGUCUUGAGUAUAUUUGAGGUAGCUGGAAUAAGUAGUGUAGCGGUGAAAUGCAUAGAUAUUACUUAGAACACCAAUUGCGAAGGCAGGUUACCAAGAUAUAACUGACGCUGAGGGACGAAAGCGUGGGGAGCGAACAGGAUUAGAUACCCUGGUAGUCCACGCCGUAAACGAUGCUAACUCGUUUUUGGGCUUUAGGGUUCAGAGACCAAGCGAAAGUGAUAAGUUAGCCACCUGGGGAGUACGCUCGCAAGAGUGAAACUCAGAGGAAUUGACGGGGGCCCGCACAAGCGGUGGAUUAUGUGGUUUAAUUCGAUGAUACGCGAGGAACCUUACCAAGACUUAAAUGGGAAUUGACAGCUUUAGAAAUAGAGCUUUCUUCGGACAAUUUUCAAGGUGCUGCAUGGUUGUCGUCAGCUCGUGCCGUGAGGUGUUAGGUUAAGUCCUGCAACGAGCGCAACCCCUGUCACUAGUUGCCAUCAUUCAGUUGGGGACUCUAGUGAGACUGCCUACGCAAGUAGAGAGGAAGGUGGGGAUGACGUCAAAUCAUCACGGCCCUUACGUCUUGGGCCACACACGUAAUACAAUGGCCGGUACAGAGGGCAGCUACACAGCGAUGUGAUGCAAAUCUCGAAAGCCGGUCUCAGUUCGGAUUGGAGUCUGCAACUCGACUCUAUGAAGCUGGAAUCGCUAGUAAUCGCGCAUCAGCCAUGGCGCGGUGAAUACGUUCCCGGGCCU
This 1345-nucleotide ribosomal RNA is filed under the name uncultured bacterium. RNAcentral's name for it is "bacterial SSU rRNA". It matches the Rfam family "Bacterial small subunit ribosomal RNA", at positions 28 to 1381 of the family's 1533-position model. The record is from RNAcentral.